GAUGAACGCUGGCGGCGUGCCUAAUACAUGCAAGUCGAGCGAACAGACGAGGAGCUUGCUCCUCUGACGUUAGCGGCGGACGGGUGAGUAACACGUGGAUAACCUACCUAUAAGACUGGGAUAACUUCGGGAAACCGGAGCUAAUACCGGAUAACAUGUUGAACCGCAUGGUUCAACAGUGAAAGACGGUCUUGCUGUCACUUAUAGAUGGAUCCGCGCCGCAUUAGCUAGUUGGUAAGGUAACGGCUUACCAAGGCAACGAUGCGUAGCCGACCUGAGAGGGUGAUCGGCCACACUGGAACUGAGACACGGUCCAGACUCCUACGGGAGGCAGCAGUAGGGAAUCUUCCGCAAUGGGCGAAAGCCUGACGGAGCAACGCCGCGUGAGUGAUGAGGGUCUUCGGAUCGUAAAACUCUGUUAUUAGGGAAGAACAAAUGUGUAAGUAACUAUGCACGUCUUGACGGUACCUAAUCAGAAAGCCACGGCUAACUACGUG
RNAcentral lists this ribosomal RNA (497 nucleotides) under uncultured bacterium. Its description in RNAcentral is "partial 16S ribosomal RNA". It matches the Rfam family "Bacterial small subunit ribosomal RNA", at positions 28 to 507 of the family's 1533-position model. The record is from RNAcentral.